UACAGAGGUCUCAACCGUUGUUCGGAUUCAUUGGGCGUAAAGGGUGCGUAGGCGGCCGCACAAGUCAGGUGUGAAAUCCUCGGGCUCAACCCGAGAACUGCACUUGAUACUGUGUGGCUAGAGAGCCGGAGAGGAGACUGGAAUUUACGGUGUAGCAGUGAAAUGCGUAGAUAUCGUAAGGAAGACCAGUGGCGAAGGCGAGUCUCUGGACGGCUUCUGACGCUGAGGCACGAAGGCUAGGGGAGCAAACGGG
Molecule: ribosomal RNA, 253 nt
Filed under: uncultured bacterium
Lineage: Bacteria
Description: partial 16S ribosomal RNA
Rfam family: Bacterial small subunit ribosomal RNA
Source: RNAcentral